Molecule: transfer RNA, 82 nt
Filed under: Echinostoma caproni
Lineage: Eukaryota; Metazoa; Platyhelminthes; Trematoda; Plagiorchiida; Echinostomatidae
Rfam family: tRNA
About the family: Transfer RNA (tRNA) molecules are approximately 80 nucleotides in length. Their secondary structure includes four short double-helical elements and three loops (D, anti-codon, and T loops).
Source: Rfam by way of RNAcentral
GGCCUCGUAGCUCAGCUGAUAAAGCAUGCGCGUUCAAAGCGUGAACGGCGUCUAUGUGUGGGUUCGAAUCCCACCGAGGCUA